RNAcentral lists this ribosomal RNA (485 nucleotides) under uncultured bacterium. RNAcentral's name for it is "bacterial SSU rRNA". It matches the Rfam family "Bacterial small subunit ribosomal RNA", at positions 28 to 500 of the family's 1533-position model. The record is from RNAcentral.
GAUGAACGCUAGCUACAGGCUUAACACAUGCAAGUCGAGGGGAAACGAUAUUGGAAGCUUGCUUCUGAUAGGCGUCGACCGGCGCACGGGUGAGUAACGCGUAUCCAACCUGCCCAUCACUUGGGGAUAACCUUGCGAAAGUAAGACUAAUACCCAAUGACGUCUCUAGAAGACAUCUGAAAGAGAUUAAAGAUUUAUCGGUGAUGGAUGGGGAUGCGUCUGAUUAGCUUGUUGGCGGGGUAACGGCCCACCAAGGCGACGAUCAGUAGGGGUUCUGAGAGGAAGGUCCCCCACAUUGGAACUGAGACACGGUCCAAACUCCUACGGGAGGCAGCAGUGAGGAAUAUUGGUCAAUGGACGAGAGUCUGAACCAGCCAAGUAGCGUGCAGGAUGACGGCCCUAUGGGUUGUAAACUGCUCUUAUAAGGGAAUAAAGUGGGAGUCGUGACUCUUUUUGCAUGUACCUUAUGAAUAAGGACCGGCUAA